RNAcentral lists this ribosomal RNA (253 nucleotides) under uncultured bacterium. Its description in RNAcentral is "partial 16S ribosomal RNA". It matches the Rfam family "Bacterial small subunit ribosomal RNA", at positions 524 to 776 of the family's 1533-position model. The record is from RNAcentral.
UACGUAGGGUGCAAGCGUUGUCCGGAAUUAUUGGGCGUAAAGAGCUCGUAGGCGGUUUGUCGCGUCUGCUGUGAAAACUCGGGGCUUAACCCCGGGCCUGCAGUGGGUACGGGCAGACUAGAGUGCGGUAGGGGAGACUGGAAUUCCUGGUGUAGCGGUGAAAUGCGCAGAUAUCAGGAGGAACACCGGUGGCGAAGGCGGGUCUCUGGGCCGAUAUUGACGCUGAGGAGCGAAAGCGUGGGGAGCGAACAGG